GCCCUCUCCCUCAAAGGGCACUUGAGCACAUCUUAAGAAGGUGUUUGUCUACAAGCCAAGAAUCAGGUGCUCGCCAUGAACCAAAUUUGCCAGAACUUGAUCUUGUAUUUUCUAAUCUCUAUAACUAUUUUCCAUGGAUUUAACUCUGUUGAAAGUUCUGAACAAGGCAUCCACUAAAGUCGUUACCAGAGAGGAAAACAUGGCUUUGGGUCACCCUCAGAUAACCUGAAAGUAGCAAAAAAAAUAUUAUGCAAUGACUAAAAAGUUGGAGCUGUGCAGCAAUAAUACCAGGAGAAAAUUGGCAUCAUCUUUUGCUUCUUAAGAUGUAUUAACAUAUAAAAAAGAGACUGAAAGGAGACUAAGAAGAUUUAUGAGACUAGCAAGAUUUAUAAAAGAUCAGCGGGAAGUAAAUAGCACUGACAUAAGUCCUUUAAUAAAAAGAGCCCUCUUAGUCUUUGAGACCUUUGAAUCCAGUUCUUUGUGACUCAUCCCAGUAAUUACU
Molecule: long non-coding RNA, 502 nt
Organism: Odocoileus virginianus texanus
Lineage: Eukaryota; Metazoa; Chordata; Mammalia; Artiodactyla; Cervidae
Source: RefSeq, a predicted model, not a curated record